UACAGAGGGGGCAAGCGUUGUUCGGAAUUACUGGGCGUAAAGGGCGCGUAGGCGGCCUUCUAAGUCGAACGUGAAAUCCCCGGGCUCAACCCGGGAACUGCGUCCGAUACUGGAAGGCUUGAAUCCGGGAGAGGGAUGUGGAAUUCCAGGUGUAGCGGUGAAAUGCGUAGAUAUCUGGAGGAACACCGGUGGCGAAGGCGGCCUGCUGGGCGGCGACUGACGCUGAGGCGCGACAGCGUGGGGAGCAAACAGG
Molecule: ribosomal RNA, 253 nt
Filed under: uncultured bacterium
Lineage: Bacteria
Description: partial 16S ribosomal RNA
Rfam family: Bacterial small subunit ribosomal RNA
Source: RNAcentral